AAGAUGUUAUAAAUGCAUGAGGCUUUACAACUUGGCAGAUGUAUAACUCGCAUGUUAUGAUUGAAUCAAACUGUUGAAGAUAUUGGUUUCACUUGAAGAUUUUUAGCAUUUUAUGCGCAAAUCAAAUGCCAGUAGCAUUUUGAAGGAGUAUUUUGGAAUCGUAAAUACAGUGGGACAGUGCUGGGUCUCUGGGAUGCUGGUGAGGUGUACGUGACCUCAAGCUCUUGGAGCUUACAAAUAAGAUUCCUAAAUUGUCACACCUGCAGUGCUGGAAGUCAAAGUGGAUUUCUGUAAAGGAGGUAUUAGUGCAAUAAGGAACAGAUGAGUGCCCUUGGAGGGCAGUUUCUGAGCCUCCCAGACACCCCAGGAGGAAGCGGGAGAGGGAGGCAGUUACCCACCAGAAGCUGGAUGGUGGAGCUGGGUUUGCUGGUGGCCCUGCGUGGCAGGUAAUUACGUGCAAUAAGGAACAGGUGAGCGCCCUUGAGGGCGGUUUCUCGCUCUGCUUCGGAACUGCAAGUGGAAGACGCCCCAAGUGGGGUGGGGGGUGUGGUCGUUAUCCAAUGGGGCCGGAUUUGCUGUUGGCCGCUGUGUGGCAGGUCACUGCGGGGAGCGAUGGGAGUGCUCAGGAGGCUGAUGCCACAUAGAAGACCUGCAGGUCGAUGGAUGUGAAACAGGCAUCGGACACGCUGUGCACCUUGGGAUGCAUCUGAGAAGUACGUGCUUGCAGCAGGUCUGAGGUGAGGGCGUGUUCCAUCUCCUCUCCCUUCUCUGGCUUUGCAGGCCUUUGAAGUUGGUC
This 796-nucleotide long non-coding RNA is filed under the name Macaca mulatta (Rhesus monkey). RNAcentral describes it as "lncRNA (ENSMMUG00000062709.1)". The record is from RNAcentral. Lineage: Eukaryota; Metazoa; Chordata; Mammalia; Primates; Cercopithecidae.